AUGUCAGCUCAGUCAGUACACG
Molecule: microRNA, 22 nt
Filed under: Bombyx mori (domestic silkworm)
Lineage: Eukaryota; Metazoa; Arthropoda; Insecta; Lepidoptera; Bombycidae
Description: bmo-miR-3203-3p
Source: miRBase by way of RNAcentral